GUGAAUCAUCGAAUCUUUGAACGCAAAUUGCACUCUCUUCGGAGAGUAUGCCUGUUUGAGUUUCAGCCUAAAAAAAAAUCGACAUAAUCUCUUUUUCGCGGUGACAUUCCUCGGAAAUUGGGUCAUCUUAAACCUUUGGGUUUUAAGCGGCUUAAAAUUUUUUUUACGAUUCUACGAACGUUUUUAAGAUGUUCUUCUUAUACGUUUAAG
This 210-nucleotide unclassified non-coding RNA is filed under the name Glomus sp. Its description in RNAcentral is "partial contains 5.8S ribosomal RNA and internal transcribed spacer 2". The stretch from base 1 to 65 matches the Rfam family "5.8S ribosomal RNA", at positions 84 to 154 of the family's 154-position model. Lineage: Eukaryota; Fungi; Glomeromycota; Glomeromycetes; Glomerales; Glomeraceae. The record is from RNAcentral.